AGAUUUGGCCUGCCCACUGAUGGAAUUGAAUGGCCGCGGUAUUUUGACCGUGCAAAGGUAGCAUAAUAAUUAGUUUUUUGAUUGAAAGCUGGAAUGAAUGGCUGGACGAGAAAAUUACUGUCUCUUGUUAAUUUUUAAUAAAAUUUUAUUUUUAAGUUAAAAAGCUUAAAUAUCAUUAAAAGACGAGAAGACCCUAUAGAGUUUAAUAUUUUUAUUUGAAUAUAAUUUUAAGAAUUUAAGUUUUGUUUUAUUUAAGGAUAUUUUAUUGGGGUGAUGAAAAGACUAAGUUAACUCUUUUUUUUUGUUUAUAUUUAUUUAUAGGUGUUUGAUCCAAAUUUUUUGAUUAAAAGAAUAAAUUACCUUAGGGAUAACAGCGUAAUCUUUUUAGAGAGUUCUUAUCGAAAAAAAGGAUUGCGACCUCGAUGUUGGAUUAAAGUUUAUUUUUGGUGUAGAAGCUAAUAAAUUGAGUCUGUUCGACUUUUAAAACUUUACAUGAUCUGAGUUUAAACCGGUGUGAGCCAGGUUGGUUUCUAUCUUUAUUAAAAUAAAAUUUCUUAGUACGAAAGGACCAA
RNAcentral lists this ribosomal RNA (572 nucleotides) under Peloriolus sp. 1 MF-2023a. Its description in RNAcentral is "partial large subunit ribosomal RNA". It matches the Rfam family "Bacterial large subunit ribosomal RNA", at positions 1850 to 2695 of the family's 2925-position model. The record is from RNAcentral. Lineage: Eukaryota; Metazoa; Arthropoda; Insecta; Coleoptera; Elmidae.